Myotis brandtii (Brandt's bat) is the source of this 374-nucleotide long non-coding RNA. RefSeq lists it as uncharacterized. Lineage: Eukaryota; Metazoa; Chordata; Mammalia; Chiroptera; Vespertilionidae. The transcript has 4 exons. The record is from RefSeq and is a predicted model, not a curated record.
GCAGGCCUGGCGCUGUCCCGCCUCUGGGUCAAGUCUGCAGCCAGCAGUUCUGUGGAUGCUACCCGCCUUCCCCAGGUGGAUCUCGUUAACCUCCAAAAGCCAGGUGAGAAGAGGGUAGUGCUGUACUCAGGCCACAUGGAGACAGGCCAGGAGCAUCCGCUUCCUGGGUGGGCCCCUUGGAAGUGUGAUUCUGGGAGUCGUUCCUGGAACUGAGCCUGAAGUCUGUUUCCUCGGCCUCUCAGGAUUCUGUGAGCCACCCAAAUCUCCUAAUAAAACCCUUUCUUCUUCAAAGUGCUAUGGCAAAUGCCACAAAGUCCAUGGGUCUGGCAACGAUGGGAAAAUGAAGAUGAAAACUUCCUGGAGCUCAGCUAACG